GUUUUAAAACAUCAGCCAAUCUUUAUUUACAAGUCCUUAUGACAAUAAAAUAAACAUACAUAUGGUGGUGGUGGGUUCCGUCCUGAACGCAAGUAAAAACCAACAUUUUAAGUUGAAAACUGCGUUAAAUCCUCAACUAAAUUCUCCACUUGAUAAGUUAGCAGGACUAGUGAAGCAGUUGGCAGAGUAUGCUGUGUAAGGUUCAUCAUCUUAGGUAAAGACACACGAUUAAUAUAUUUAAACUUGCAUAUAGUAGUUUUUCCUCAUUCAGUCAUUUUAUACUUCACUCUGUUCAAAGAGGAAACGUAUAACUACCGAGACAAAUCUCCCAGGACAAGUUGACGGGCAACUCUAGCAGGACAGAACAUAAGUUAACACACACACUCCACUUUCCACACUGCAAAACGACACUCCGUCAUGCAGGCAUUAACGUGUCAGGAAAAAAAGACGAGUGAUAUGUGGAGGUAAAACUGACUUAAGGGAAAGCGUUUCCUGGUUGGGGGGUGUUUCAAUCAAAUAUUCAGCAUAACGGAUGAGGAUGGAGGACACAUUUAGAUAAGGGCAGGCAAAGAGGGCUGGGCUGAUUAACCAAACCCAUGGCACUUAGACCAAUAAGGGAGUAAAAUCAGACAACAGAUCCGAGGUAAAGCACAGACAAGAAUAUCCAUCGCCAUCGUCGAUGCUUUUACUCGUGGCUUUGACAACACUCUGCAUACAGAAUGUGAUAUAAUGUCGGCUCAUAAAAAAAGGUGGUUUUGGGCAGAACAAUGUACACCCGGUGGCAAACAAAAAUGUGUGUCUAAAGAAAUCUGCUUGUGUCCGUCAUUCUCUUUACUGGAAACACGCAUGACUACAAACAGCGAUGGGUUUCAUUCACACAUUUGCUUGUUUUUUUUUACGUCGCACUUCACUCUUUUAUAUUCGCAUUUCAGUUUGGGUUUUCAAAAGGUCCUGUAGUUCUGUGACUAUUAAUAUAUAUAUUAAUCACAAAAAAGAGGACAGGCAUGAGAGGUGCAAUGGAGCAAGCAACAGCAUGUACACAAUGCUGUGCACAUUUGUAAACACCUGUAAUGCAAAUAACAGCAAAAAUCUGAAGUUUCCCACACACACAGACACAGUACAUUUCUGAUCACUUUGUCAUUUGUAGAUAAAACUGUUAGAGGGCUUCCUGACACUGAAAAAACAAAAAUGUUUAUUUGAGACUAAAUGAAGAAUUUAUAAAAAAAAUAACUGUUCGUAACGGGAUGAAUAAAGCACAUUUUAAAAAGGGACAUUCCUGUUUUAAGUCAUGUUUGUUUGGAAAUCAGGCCCUCCACCGUGUCCUUUAACAAAAUUAAAAAAAAGUUGCCCAGACAUAAUAAGUUUCUGUGUCUGUUGAGAACUUACUCAAAAUAAAUGCAGCACCAAAGUCCUUUUUCCAGAGAAAAACUAACUGGAUGCAAUAUGGGAUUAUUGUUAGAGUUAAGAGUUGGAAGAUCUUCCUCACAGAUACUGAAUGUCUGAGACAGAGGGGCUUCGUUCCACCUCCGGCCGACAGCUAUUGCUUUGGGCCUGAGGAGCAAAGUCGUGGAUCCACGGGUACAUAUUCCACAGGCAAAGGC
Molecule: long non-coding RNA, 1601 nt
Organism: Gasterosteus aculeatus aculeatus (three-spined stickleback)
Lineage: Eukaryota; Metazoa; Chordata; Actinopteri; Perciformes; Gasterosteidae
Source: Ensembl